This 40-nucleotide transfer RNA is filed under the name Scherotheca savignyi. Its description in RNAcentral is "partial tRNA-Ser". The record is from RNAcentral. Lineage: Eukaryota; Metazoa; Annelida; Clitellata; Crassiclitellata; Lumbricidae.
GGCUGAUGUUUUGGAAACACUAGAACCUGAAAGUCCACAU